UUUGGCACUUGCACAAUAUUGA
RNAcentral lists this microRNA (22 nucleotides) under Ciona intestinalis (vase tunicate). RNAcentral's name for it is "Cin-Mir-96-P1_5p (mature (guide))". The record is from RNAcentral. Lineage: Eukaryota; Metazoa; Chordata; Ascidiacea; Phlebobranchia; Cionidae.